GGGCAGGGCUGGAGGCCCUACAAGGAAGAUGGUAGCUGUCGUGGGCUUUUUCCAGCUUGACUGAGGGGCUCAACAGGUACCAUCUUCUCCGUCUUGGCUUUUCUAAGAGGUGCGUCUAGGGUGCAGGGACCUGGAAAGUCCGCUUUUUGUGAAUGCUUUGCAGGUAAAGGUCCUCAUUAAGUGGUUAUAGGCUUGAGUGAGAGUUGGACUGUAAAGGAGGCUGAGCACUGAAGAACCAAUGCUUUUGAACAGUGGUGUUGGAGAAGACUCUUGAGAGUCCCUUGGACUGCAAGGAGAUCCAACCAGUCCAUCCUAAAGGAAAUAAGUCCUGAAUAUUCGUUGGAAGGACUGAUGCUGAAGCUGAAACUCCAAUCCUUUGGCCACCUGAUGUAAAGAGCUGACUCACUGGAAAAGACCCUGAUGCUGGGAAAGAUUGAAGGCAGGAGGAGAAGGGGACGACAGAGGAUGAGAUGGUUGGACGGCAUCACCAGAGAUGCCAAACCUGGGUACCUGGCAUGGUUUCUCCUUGGAGACGACAACUCUAUGCAACCUCAUGGACUGUAGCCCUCCAGGCUCCUCUGUCCAUGGGAUCGUCCAGGCA
Bos taurus (domestic cattle) is the source of this 601-nucleotide long non-coding RNA. NCBI's taxonomy places the organism in Eukaryota, Metazoa, Chordata, Mammalia, Artiodactyla, Bovidae. The record is from Ensembl.